This 416-nucleotide unclassified non-coding RNA is filed under the name Hevea brasiliensis (rubber tree). Lineage: Eukaryota; Viridiplantae; Streptophyta; Magnoliopsida; Malpighiales; Euphorbiaceae. The record is from RNAcentral.
CAAGAACCUUCUUAAUCGAGCAAUUGAGAUCCAGAAAAACACAAUGACCUCGUCUUUCUUCUCAUCAAUGAACUGGAAAUAAGCAAUCCUCCAUGACUUCUUCACUACUAGAGUUCCGCAGACCACCCAAAACCCUACAGGAAAUCCUAUUCCUAUUCCUAUGCCUAUGUAGAACCACAACAUUUCAAUACUUUCUUCUUCUUCAUCUUUGUUUUCCUCAGGAGAGAGAGGCUCCUCAGUUGAUGUUUCAUAUUUGUCAUCUCCUUUGCACUUGGUGGGCAGUGGCGGACCACAAAGUAAUGGGUUACCUUCGUAUAUGGAAGGAUCAUUGAAGGUCUCAAACUGGUUAGUUUUUGGGAUUUGACCAGAAAGAUUGUUAUAUGAGAUGUUCAAGUGAUUCAGAAAAGUGAUGGAGG